UCUAGCGGGACAGGCCAAAGUUAAGUCGGAGAAAAUGCAGUCCUUUAAAAAUUAUUCAAUGUUUCUCUCUGGCCCGGUAGCAAAUGCUUCACGGACAGGUACCGGUCCCCGGAUCGGUGGUUGGAGACCACCGCUUUAAGAGACGUGGGCCGCCAAUUUUGUUUUGAUUGAGAAGUGUUCAAAACACUCGUUUAUUUUAAAGUCAACCCGGACAAUUCCUUAAUUAACACAAUAAUAACAGUUCCAUUCUCAAAAUAUUUCUCUUCGUGAGUUUUAAAAAAUGUUUGCAGUGUUUCAGAAAAAAUUUUAAGAAUAUACACGUCGUUUUUGUCUUAAGUAUGUCAAAAAUCCAAGCGCACAAAAUGCGUCACAAGCUGGAGUCAAGCCACUCUCUUCUCUCAUUGGUCAACAGCAAGUCUAACGCUGUCGACAGGAAGUUGAUGAAUAACGCACAUUUAGCAUUUGCUGCCAUUUUAAACAUUCCAGAUAAUCUAUGAGGAUUUUGAAAUGAUAUUCAACAUGUCCAUUUAGAGCACCGUCCACCAUGCUACAAUUUCGACGUGUUUGGGCUGUCUCGCUCGCGGCCUCCUGCUCGCUCGUCUCUGUGCUCUCCUCUCUAUCUCCCCCCAUGGCCUCGGCCCCUGCUGAUAAAAGGAGACAGGUGAUUAGAUAACCCGCCUUAGCUGGGCAAUCCACUCACCUGUCAGCUGCUUCGAAGCCGGUCUAUACACACGCCCUUCCCGCAGGGGGCGCGCAGACCACGCCCCCCUCCACAAUGUCUAUAUAAAUUAUUACAUGCACAUGUGCGCACACACACACAGAGGAAGUGCUUUUAUUUUGUCGCAUUUUCGUGCACUUCCUCUUCAGGCAGCAAACAUGAGGAGGCACAUGUUUGAGUUGGCUUAAUUGGUAAGUUUAACUCAAUUAUAAUUUAAAAGUACAUUGAACAUAAACUCCAAAUAUUUACGAUCUGAUAUACCGUAUUUUUCGGAGUAUAAGUCGCUCCGGAGUAUAAGUCGCACCGGCCGAAAAUGCAUAAUAAAGAAGGAAAAAAACAUAUAUAAGUCGCACUGGAGUAUAAGUCGCAUUUUUGGGGGACAUUUAUUUGAUAAAAUCCAACACCAAGGAUAGACAUUUGAAAGGCAAUUUAAAAUAAAUAAAGAAUAGUGAACAGCAGGCUGAAUAAGUGUACGUUAUAUGACGCAUAAAUAGCCAACUGAGAACGUGCCUGGUAUGUUAACGUAACAUAUCAUGGUAAAAGUCAUUCAAAUAACUAUAACAUAUAGAACAUGCUAUACGUUUACCAAACAAUCUGUCACUCCUAAUCGCUAAAUCCCAUGAAAUCUUAUACGUCUAGUCCAGGGGUCGGCAACCCAAAAUGUUGAAAGAGCCACAUUGGACCAAAAA
Entelurus aequoreus (snake pipefish) is the source of this 1407-nucleotide long non-coding RNA. RefSeq lists it as uncharacterized. NCBI's taxonomy places the organism in Eukaryota, Metazoa, Chordata, Actinopteri, Syngnathiformes, Syngnathidae. The record is from RefSeq and is a predicted model, not a curated record. The transcript is spliced from 2 exons.